Molecule: transfer RNA, 25 nt
Filed under: Tanacetopsis eriobasis
Lineage: Eukaryota; Viridiplantae; Streptophyta; Magnoliopsida; Asterales; Asteraceae
Also listed under: 7 other names
Description: partial tRNA-Leu
Source: RNAcentral
GCGGCUUGCUCGACUCAUAAUAUAA